UCUUAAUAAGCAGCGGUAAAAGGCAAGAGAGGAUGAGGCAGAUGCCAAGAAUAAGUAAGAACCCACCAAUGAGGGUUUUGAAUUUUCCAAAAGUUGAGAACCAUCCUCCAAACAAGGAAUCCGGGGACCACCCGGACCAUGUCUGAACUUGAACAUGGGCCAGCUUGCGCAUUUCAGCUGUGAUUUCCAUGACAGCUCGGCCAUUAUUAUCGAUUUCUAGGCAAAGGAGACAGCAAGAAGGCAGCCUUUGGAAAGCCAGGAGGAGGGCCCUCACCAGGAACCAAAUCAGUCAGCACCUUGAUCUUGGACUUCCCAGCCUUCAGACUAUGAAAAAUAAAUUUCUGUUUAAGCCACCUAGUCUGUAGUAUUUUAGUACAGCAGCCUGAACUGACUAAUACAGUAUUUGUGAGGGCUCUGAUUUUUUCUAAGUGUUGGCAAGGAUGUGGAGCAAUUGGAAUCCUCAGACGCUGCUGGUGGAGAUGGGGAAUCGUGUGCCUGCUAUGGAAAACAGCGCGGUGGCUCCUCAAAAGUUAAACAUUGAAUUGCCAUGUGACCUAGCAAUUGUGUUCCCAGGUAUAUACCCAAAAGAAUUGAAAAUAAGCAUUCAAACAAAUACUUGUACACAAAUGUUUACAGCAGUGCCAUUCACAAUGG
This 654-nucleotide long non-coding RNA is filed under the name Homo sapiens (human). Its description in RNAcentral is "HSALNT0177268". Lineage: Eukaryota; Metazoa; Chordata; Mammalia; Primates; Hominidae. The record is from RNAcentral.